UACGUAGGUGGCGAGCGUUGUCCGGAUUUAUUGGGCGUAAAGAGCGUGUAGGCGGCUUGGCAAGUCCGCUGUGAAAACUCGAGGCUUAACCUCGAGACGUCGGUGGAAACUGCCUGGCUAGAGUCCGGAAGAGGAGAGUGGAAUUCCUGGUGUAGCGGUGAAAUGCGCAGAUAUCAGGAAGAACACCCGUGGCUAAGGCGGCUCUCUAGUACGGUACUGACGCUGAGACGCGAAAGCGUGGGGAGCGAACAGG
RNAcentral lists this ribosomal RNA (253 nucleotides) under uncultured bacterium. RNAcentral's name for it is "partial 16S ribosomal RNA". It matches the Rfam family "Bacterial small subunit ribosomal RNA", at positions 524 to 776 of the family's 1533-position model. The record is from RNAcentral.